This 498-nucleotide ribosomal RNA is filed under the name uncultured bacterium. RNAcentral describes it as "partial 16S ribosomal RNA". It matches the Rfam family "Bacterial small subunit ribosomal RNA", at positions 27 to 507 of the family's 1533-position model. The record is from RNAcentral.
GGAUGAACGCUGGCGGCGUGCCUAAUACAUGCAAGUCGAGCGAACGGACGAGAAGCUUGCUUCUCUGAUGUUAGCGGCGGACGGGUGAGUAACACGUGGAUAACCUACCUAUAAGACUGGGAUAACUUCGGGAAACCGGAGCUAAUACCGGAUAAUAUUUUGAACCGCAUGGUUCAAAAGUGAAAGACGGUCUUGCUGUCACUUAUAGAUGGAUCCGCGCUGCAUUAGCUAGUUGGUAAGGUAACGGCUUACCAAGGCAACGAUGCAUAGCCGACCUGAGAGGGUGAUCGGCCACACUGGAACUGAGACACGGUCCCGACUCCUACGGGAGGCAGCAGUAGGGAAUCUUCCGCAAUGGGCGAAAGCCUGACGGAGCAACGCCGCGUGAGUGAUGAAGGUCUUCGGAUCGUAAAACUCUGUUAUUAGGGAAGAACAUAUGUGUAAGUAACUGUGCACAUCUUGACGGUACCUAAUCAGAAAGCCACGGCUAACUACGUG